AGUGAACGCUGGCGGUAGGCCUAACACAUGCAAGUCGAACGGCAGCACAGUAAGAGCUUGCUCUUACGGGUGGCGAGUGGCGGACGGGUGAGGAAUACAUCGGAAUCUACUUUUUCGUGGGGGAUAACGUAGGGAAACUUACGCUAAUACCGCAUACGACCUACGGGUGAAAGCGGGGGAUCUUCGGACCUUGCGCGAUUGAAUGAGCCGAUGUCGGAUUAGCUAGUUGGCGGGGUAAAGGCCCACCAAGGCGACGAUCCGUAGCUGGUCUGAGAGGAUGAUCAGCCACACUGGAACUGAGACACGGUCCAGACUCCUACGGGAGGCAGCAGUGGGGAAUAUUGGACAAUGGGCGCAAGCCUGAUCCAGCCAUACCGCGUGGGUGAAGAAGGCCUUCGGGUUGUAAAGCCCUUUUGUUGGGAAAGAAAAGCAGCAGGUUAAUACCCCGCUGUUCUGACGGUACCAAAAGAAUAAGCACCGGCUAACUUCGUG
RNAcentral lists this ribosomal RNA (492 nucleotides) under uncultured bacterium. RNAcentral's name for it is "partial 16S ribosomal RNA". It matches the Rfam family "Bacterial small subunit ribosomal RNA", at positions 29 to 507 of the family's 1533-position model. The record is from RNAcentral.